RNAcentral lists this ribosomal RNA (253 nucleotides) under uncultured bacterium. RNAcentral describes it as "partial 16S ribosomal RNA". It matches the Rfam family "Bacterial small subunit ribosomal RNA", at positions 524 to 776 of the family's 1533-position model. The record is from RNAcentral.
UACGAAGGGGGCUAGCGUUGCUCGGAAUUACUGGGCGUAAAGCGCGCGUAGGCGGACCUGCAAGUCGGGGGUGAAAGCCCGAGGCUCAACCUCGGAACUGCCUUCGAUACUGCGGGUCUCGAGUCCGGGAGAGGUGAGUGGAAUUCCUAGUGUAGAGGUGAAAUUCGUAGAUAUUAGGAAGAACACCAGUGGCGAAGGCGGCUCACUGGCCCGGUACUGACGCUGAGGUGCGAAAGCGUGGGGAGCAAACAGG